RNAcentral lists this ribosomal RNA (253 nucleotides) under uncultured bacterium. RNAcentral's name for it is "partial 16S ribosomal RNA". It matches the Rfam family "Bacterial small subunit ribosomal RNA", at positions 524 to 776 of the family's 1533-position model. The record is from RNAcentral.
UACGUAGGGUCCAAGCGUUAAUCGGAAUUACUGGGCGUAAAGCGUGCGCAGGCGGUUGUGUAAGGCAGGUGUGAAAUCCCCAGGCUUAACCUGGGAACUGCAUUUGUGACUGCACGGCUAGAGUGUGUCAGAGGGAGGUAGAAUUCCACGUGUAGCAGUGAAAUGCGUAGAUAUGUGGAGGAAUACCGAUGGCGAAGGCAGCCUCCUGGGAUAACACUGACGCUCAUGCACGAAAGCGUGGGGAGCAAACAGG